UGGGGAAUAUUGGACAAUGGGGGCAACCCUGAUCCAGCCAUGCCGCGUGAGUGAAGAAGGCCUUAGGGUUGUAAAGCUCUUUCAGUCGUGACGAUGAUGACGGUAGCGACAGAAGAAGUCCCGGCUAACUCCGUGCCAGCAGCCGCGGUAAUACGGAGGGGGCAAGCGUUGUUCGGAUUUACUGGGCGUAAAGGGCGCGUAGGCGGGGUAUCAAGUUAGGGGUGAAAGCCCGGGGCUCAACCUCGGAACUGCCUUUAAAACUGGUACUCUAGAGUCCGUGAGAGGUGAGUGGAACUCCGAGUGUAGAGGUGAAAUUCGUAGAUAUUCGGAAGAACACCAGUGGCGAAGGCGGCUCACUGGCACGGUACUGACGCUGAGGUGCGAAAGCGUGGGGAGCAAACAGGAUUAGAUACCCCCGUAGUCC
RNAcentral lists this ribosomal RNA (424 nucleotides) under uncultured prokaryote. RNAcentral's name for it is "bacterial SSU rRNA". It matches the Rfam family "Bacterial small subunit ribosomal RNA", at positions 355 to 796 of the family's 1533-position model. The record is from RNAcentral.